AUGGAGCUGCUGUUCGAGCUGCUCCUCACGGCGGCGGCCACCCUCCUCGUCGCCUUCCUGCUCGCCAAGCUCCUCUCCGGGAACAAUGAUCCCCCCCGCCGCGAUCGCGCGGCGGGACCGGCUGACGUGAUCGCGGAGGAAAAAGCGGAGGAGGCGGAAGAGGAGAGGGUCAUCGAGGUGGACGAGGUGGGAGCGUGGGCGGAUGUGGCGGCGCCGGCUCUCGCCGAGGGGUGGGUCGAGGUGGAGAAGGCCCCCGCGACCGUCGCGGAGGGGAUGACCGAGUGGGUGGCCGCGGAAGAGGGGGUUCCGGCCACGCUUGCUCCGGAGCUGUUCCUUGGCACCGUGUCGCGGGAGCAGAAGGAGGAGGGUGAAGUUGGCAAGAAGCAGUGCGAUUUAACCGCGGCCGUCGAGGCGGCUGUCGAAGCGAAGCCGCGGGAUUCCGGCGCCGAAGCUGCUCCCAGAGAGGUUCUUGACGUGGAGUUGGAGGAAGAGACAACCCAGCAGAAUGAUCUGGGUGCUGAAGUUGCCCCGAGUGAAGUCCCUGAUGCGGGAGUGCAGAAACAGGAAGUUCAUGCUAUGGAAGCUGUUGAAGUGAAGCAGCUCCAUCUGGAUGUGGGGGCUGCUCCUGCAGAAGUUGUUGAUGCAGGACUGGAGAGGGAGGAGGAGGGAGCUCAAGCUGCUGAAGUGAUUCCGCGUGAAUUGGCUUCCGAGACUCCACCUGCAGAUGUUCUUGACAUCGUACCUGGGAAGCAGCAGGAGCAAGUCAUUGAAGCGAAUCAGCAUGAAUUGGCUCACGUUGUGGCUCCAAGAGUGAUUCCGGACGCCGCAGCAAAGGAUGAGGAAAUGAAAGAACCAUCUGUGGAAGAAGUUGUUGUUCCACAUGAAGAAGUUCACAACAAGGAGGAAGCUCGGCAUGAGGCCGGCACGGAUGAUCAGCAAGAAAAAUUGGUCCCUAAGGACGAGCCGGCUCUUAAGAAAUCUGAUGAUCUAAAUGUCAGCCAAGAAGACAGCUCUAAUGACAAAGUGGAUGUUCAGCUACCGGAGAAGGAUACCACAUUGCUAGGGAUGCCGGAAGAUGAGGCUAGAGCGAGCAUGGAGUUUGAAGAGUGGGAAGGGAUUGAGAGAAGUGAAGUGGAGAAGAGAUUUGGUGCAGCAGCGGCAUUUGCAGCUAGUGACGCCGGGGCGGCUGCUCUGUCGAAGCUGAAUAGCGAUGUGCAGCUGCAGCUGCAGGGACUUCUCAAGGUUGCAGUUGAUGGUCCCUGUUAUGACGCUGCACAACCACUUACACUGAGACCUUCUUCUCGUGCAAAAUGGGUCUCUUGGCAAAAGCUAGGAAACAUGCAUCCUGAGAUUGCUAUGGAAAAAUACAUGAAUCUUUUGUCAGAAUUUCUUCCUGGAUGGAUGGGAGACACAACCCCGAGCACAGAGAAACAGAAAGUUGAUGUUGAUUCUGAAGGGGCCCUUUUAACAAUGACUACUCAUACAAGUGACCCACAGAUCAAUCAAGGGAAUGAAGGUAGUACUAGCAUAGAUGAAGGUCCACUAACAGUUCCUCCUAACCCCGAAAAAGGGCAGAGCUCUGACGUCCCUACCGAAUGA
This 1599-nucleotide ribosomal RNA is filed under the name Triticum aestivum (bread wheat). RNAcentral describes it as "partial small subunit ribosomal RNA". Lineage: Eukaryota; Viridiplantae; Streptophyta; Magnoliopsida; Poales; Poaceae. The record is from RNAcentral.